Molecule: long non-coding RNA, 4648 nt
Organism: Glossina fuscipes
Lineage: Eukaryota; Metazoa; Arthropoda; Insecta; Diptera; Glossinidae
Exons: 2
Source: RefSeq, a predicted model, not a curated record
UCAUUUUAAAAAUAAAAUUUUUUAAGCUGGCUUUUUAACAAAAUGUAAAACGAAAACAAAAUUUUUAAAUGUAACCAAAGGGAAUGCAAUGAAACCUGGUUUAUAUUUUUAGUUUUUGAAUAAAUUGAAAAAAAAAUUCACUUAAAUUUUUAUUUAUGAAAAUUAUUUAUAUUUCUUUAAUAACAAUAUUUGUUUUACAGCAAAGGCAGCCCUUCGAUUCAAUGAGAUAUAGACUUGAAAUUUGCACACACACACACACACAGAGCCCUGAAUCUCCUCUACGAUGCUAGCUUAAAUCAAAUCAAGUAAAAAUAUUAAAAGUAUUAUAAGAAUGGCGAGGUCUUUCGAGAAGCAACUUGUUGUGAAAUUUGAUUGCAAGGCAGUCACAGAAAACAAUAUAUAUAUAUAUAUAUAUAUGUAUAUAUAUGUCGAAAACACGUUUACUACGGAUCGAAAGAUGUAAUAUGGGCGUUUUUUUUUUUUGUUUAAUAGUCUCCUGCUCUAAUAGUUAUUGUUUCACGGUAUUAAUAAUUCUUGAGUUUACUUGUUCAUUUGCUUAACAAGCUUCCAUUUCACAUUUCCUAGUGCAGCUUUGCCUUUCAACCCAAGUUUAAACGGCAUUUAAUUACGAAAAGAAAGUUCAAAGUAAUGCAUUUCAAAUGCGUAGAGGAUUAUGGGGAGUGUUUGAUAAGACAUUUCAUCGUUCUUCGAACGCUGAUCCUUUUUUAUUACAUAAAGCAUAGAUUUUUAAAACAAUCCGACGUACUUGAUUAGCAAUAAGCUAAUAAUUCGUAGUAAUCGUAGUAAGCUUAAAAUUUUCGAAAAAAAAUAGUCCGAAGCGAACGCGUUUUUGGCAAAAGUUUUUAAAAAAAUCGCUAUACAUAAGACCUGUUUGCUCUAGUAAAGCAAUUUGUUUUAAAAAAUUUCGAAAAUUUUAACCUUUCUACGUAUUAAUAUAUAGUAGAGGAGAUUUUGCGAGACACGAGCGCGUACACGCGACAAUUUUUAGAUAUUCUUCUUCUAACUUUUGUCUUUCCUGAGAAACAGUUUGCAAAUAGUUUUGUUCCAGAGAUAACUCUGGUCUGAUUAAUCGAUAAAUCUAGAUAGUUGAAAUUUUCUCACACAAUUUCUAAUACAAUAUCUGUUCGUUCACAUUAUUUUGUUUUUUUCGAAAUAUCUUGAGUGAAAUGUUCUUUCCAUCUACAUUGAAUAGAAAAAAGUAAUAGUUUUCCCGUUAAACAAAUUUUGAGUGCAUAAAUGGGAUUGGAAUGAGGACCUGGCUAAGAGCUUUGCACAAUUGCGUUGCUCUUUUUCAACUAAUGAAGCUUAUCUGAUAUCAAUUUCGUUCUGCAACAAACUGCCAUUCAAUAUAAAGUAUUGAGCGUUAAUAGAUUAAAGGCCAAUAGAGCAGAUGCAAAACAUUCAUUCUCUUCGCGGCAUUCAAUCAUGUCUUAUACGUUUAGUGCUAAUUUUACUGAAUUCAACGAGAUAAUGCAAUCGUUAAUGCAAUCAAAUAUUAUUUUCAUUUUAUUAUGUAAGCAACUAUGUAUUUUCUAUUUAUAAAAUUUGCAUUUGCAUCCACACUAACAGGCCAAACUUGUACAAAAUGUUUGGAUCUCGCGAGAGCAUUACAUGUAGAAUCGGCAUUCUAUCUCAACUUUGCAAGUUAAUAUAAAAAUUCCGGUUUCGUAUUUACAUAUCGGGUAGAGCUUUCGUUUUCGUCUUAGACAACUCUUUUCCAAAAUGAAUCUAAUAAUUAAUUAAAUCGUUUUUUCGAUUCGCUCCUUAUACGAGAAGCAUAUAAAGCCGUGUGUACAUAUAUAGGGUGUCCCACAAAAAAAAAGUGCAUAGACAUUGCGUGACUAUAAAAGCACUAUUCAUUUAGAUGAAUUGCAGAUUAAGAGUGCAAAUUGAAGAAGACGGCGGCAGGAUUAGUUUAGUCAACGCAAAUGUUCAAAUUGAUGCCCCUUUUUGAUUCCCACAUUACUGAUAACACGAUGCAAACGCGGCGAAUUAUUUCAUGAAGAUUUUCCCUCAACUGAUCGUUUAUUGUCGGUUUUGUCAGAUACAUUUUAUCUUUAAUGCGUCCCUAGAAAACAAAAUGCAGCGACGUGAGGUUGCGGUAAGAGUACGAAUCGGGGCCAUUCGAUGGCCCCUCUUCGCUCAUCCAUCUGUUCGGAAGAUUUUCACUGAGAUAAGCUCUCACAUCCAUCUUACUCACGAAUAUUAGGCACAACGUUUUUCUACAGCAGUUUCUAAUUAGCGGCAUACAGUGACCCUCUUAUCAAAAAAGAAAGAAUGAGGUAUUAAAGUGUGUGUUAGGAUACUUUAUUUAUUCUAAUUCCCGGUAGAAAAUGCCGAUUUAAUUACAAGAAAAUAUAUUUAAGAAAACAUCAUCGGUUUAACAUCAUCGUCGCCUAAUCGAUGAUUUUGAUGAAAUUAAAUUUCUUGUUAGCUUAAUUUCUACUUAGAAAAGACUUUCCACAAUCACUUACUCUAUCAUUAACGCGUGCCGUUUCUAGUAGCAGACUUUUCUCUCUACUCUAUCGCCACUUUCCUUCGCCGAUUUCAAGAACCGAUUUUUCUCUCUAAUCUGUCAUCAUUUUUCUUCGCAUUCGUUGGACUUGUUAUUAUCAUCAGUAGUAUGCCAUUUCCAAGACUUUUUAUAUAUGUUAGUUAAUAUUAUGUUUACGAAUUUUGAUUUCGCCGAUUUGUUUUGUGCUUUCACGAGUUCUCUUCUAGAAAAAUAUUGAUGUCUUCAUUAAUUAAUUCAAUUUACGUUCAGAUAUUAAAGGAAAUGCUCGUAGAAAUUCUCUUCGGCGACGGCUUUAAAAAUACAUACAUAUUUUUAUUAUAGCGCUUUGUUACAGAGACUAGCCGAUAGAAAAGCUUUAAGCAUGUUAGUUGAAAGGAUACAUUGGUCGGUCCAAAUCUAUUCCCUGCCGCAGUUUGUCGAAAAUAGUUGCAAGAAACCUGUUGCCUUUGCUGUGGACAAGGAUAUUGUUAAUAUAAAUAAAAUAAAUUUUCCCGAAAGGUUAUUUAGAAACUAACUCCUACAUGCACACACGAGUAAAAACUUGACGUGUUGUUUGCACAUUUCUAAAAAAAUGUCUUUUUGUGACAUUAAAGCUUUAAGAAAGAUUUAAAGUAAUAUCGGAUGCUAUAACAUUUUUGAUCCUCUCGUAUACUGCUUUUGGAAAGGAAAUCGAUCAAAAUAAAAAGAAAAAAAAUAUUAAAAAUACACAAAAAAUUAAAAAAAAAAAGGAAAAAGAAAAAAAUUAAAAAAAAAAAAAUUAGAAAACUCUCUAAAUGUAAUCCAAAAGAAAUUGAAUAAUAUAUUGAAAAGUGAAGUGAAUGAAGAUUUACGAAAGCAUAACAAUGUACAAUAAGCACAAAGUAAAUUAAAAAUGUUUCUCUCUGCUAUUGAUUAAAUACAAUUUCAAAAAUGAUUAAAGGCGAAUUUUUAUACCAACCAGAUCCGGACACUCCAGAAAGCACAUGUGCACAUAAGGACAGUGUAACGAGAAUUUUGCUCUGUCCGCAUGAUCUGUAUAAAUCGAAGAGUGACAAAAAUUGAAAUAAAGCGCGGCUUAAUUUUCUACAGCAAGAAGUGACAAUUUCAUUCAUUUGAAAUACUACUGAAAAAGGUUACGAUGAAAAUAUGCACGAUCGGUCCGUGUGGGUGUUCAUUGCUACCCAAAGGCGAUGAAUGGGUAUCUAGGGUUAAAGUGAAUACAUUUUUUUUUUUUUUUUUUUUUGAUAACUUUAAUGUAAAUUUUGUUUUUAAAGCUAUAAUAAAAUCUCUUCCUGUACGUUUUUAACUAAAGUUGUAAAUUUUGCAAUCAAAAGUAUAAAUAAAUAAAUAAAUAAAAUUCGGAUAUCUAUAUGAACACGUAUUAGAACAAUUUUAAAAAGCAAGAUAAAAAUACAAAAAAUUAAAAUAUUUUAAAUGAAAAAGAAAAAUCGAAUAACUGAUUUAUAUAAAAGUUUUAUUAAAAAAAAAUGAAAAAAUACAAGACAUUUCGGUGAGAAUGGACCGAAGUUUUCAAUACUCGAAUUGUACAGAUUAUAGAUAAUAUCGAGAUAAGAUCGCGGAACGACAAAAAAAUCCACUCGAUCGAUUAAUUAAAUAACAAAAUUUUCUUGCUAAUUCUUUUGUAACUAUUUAGAUUGAUUUUCUUCCAUUUUUUUUAUUUAAAAAAAAAAAAUGUUGAAAUUUUUGUGAUAUUAAUGGUAAUAUUGUUCAUUUUUCCUUAAAAAAAAAAAUGCAUUAUUAAAUUAUUAUAAAAAAAAGAAAAAAAUUGCAUUCGCUCUGUGGCCAAUUUUUGAUAUCCACGACCUUGGUUUUUGCAAUAUAAAGAAAAAUAGAUGAGACGGAAAAUGUAGGUGUAACCGAUCGAGAAAUAAUUUUACCAAGCUUUACAUCAAUAAGCGAGUUAGCUGUUUUACAAUCGCGGCCGGUCAAUAAAAUUUAAUCUUCAUAAGCUGCAGUGUAAAGAAUUCAUAUUACAACGUGCAGCGUUUUAGUCCUAUUUUUGCGGUCAGGAAAAUUUCAACAGUAGAAACGGACAAAUAGACGAACAGAAACAUGAAUAUAUAUAUAUUAUAAAGUCCUCGACUUGUAUUUCUGGAAUGGUGCAAAUGCUAG